AUGUACCACUCGUACGCUGCGGUUCUGAGCGUGCCGUCCAUGCCCACCUGACGACUGCUCGCUACGUUUGGUAGUA
This 76-nucleotide small RNA is filed under the name Xanthomonas bromi. Its description in RNAcentral is "sX9 sRNA". It matches the Rfam family "Xanthomonas sRNA sX9". Lineage: Bacteria; Pseudomonadati; Pseudomonadota; Gammaproteobacteria; Lysobacterales; Lysobacteraceae. The record is from RNAcentral.